AUUAGAGUUUGAUCCUGGCUCAGAACGAACGCUGGCGGCAGGCCUAACACAUGCAAGUCGAGCGCCCCGCAAGGCGAGCGGCGAAAGGGAGAGGAACACGCGGGUACCUACCCUCAGGACCGGGAUAGCUGCGGGAAACUGCAAUUAAUACCGGAUAAUGUCUCCGGACCAAAGGUGUGAUUCCGCCGGAGGAGGGGCCCACGUCCUAUCAGCUAGUUGGAGAGGUAAUGGCUCACCAAGGCUACGACGGGUACGGGGUGUGAGAGCAUGCCCCCGCUCACUGGGACUGAGAUACUGCCCAGACACCUACGGGUGGCUGCAGUCGAGAAUCUUCCGCAAUGGGCGGAAGCCUGACGGAGCGACGCCGCGUGCGGGAUGAAGGCCUUCGGGUUGUAAACCGCUGUCAGUGGGGAGGAAAUUCAUGGGGGUUCUCCCCUGUGUUUGACCGAUCCGCAGAGGAAGCACAGGCUAAGUUCGUGCCAGCAGCCGCGGUAACACGAACUGUGCGAACGUUAUUCGGAAUCACUGGGCUUAAAGAGUUCGUAGGCGGCGCGCUAAGUCGGGUGUGAAAUCCCUCGGCUCAACCGAGGAAUUGCGCCCGAAACUGGCGUGCUUGAGUAAGAUAGAGGUGAGCGGAACUGAUGGUGGAGCGGUGAAAUGCGUUGAUAUCAUCAGGAACACCGGUGGCGAAAGCGGCUCACUGGGUCUUAACUGACGCUGAGGAACGAAAGCUAGGGGAGCGAACGGGAUUAGAUACCCCGGUAGUCCUAGCCGUAAACGAUGAGCACUAGGU
This 793-nucleotide ribosomal RNA is filed under the name uncultured Planctomycetota bacterium. RNAcentral's name for it is "bacterial SSU rRNA". It matches the Rfam family "Bacterial small subunit ribosomal RNA", at positions 1 to 821 of the family's 1533-position model. The record is from RNAcentral. Lineage: Bacteria; Pseudomonadati; Planctomycetota.